Molecule: ribosomal RNA, 627 nt
Filed under: Triticum aestivum (bread wheat)
Lineage: Eukaryota; Viridiplantae; Streptophyta; Magnoliopsida; Poales; Poaceae
Description: partial small subunit ribosomal RNA
Source: RNAcentral
AUGGACUACAAUCCUGUGGUCUCCGCCCUCGCCGCUCGUGUGGAGCCGAUCACCGUACAAGAGCUGUAUAGUCAGCUCCUAAGCUUCGACGCCCGCCUCAGCCUCCUUCACGGCGCCAACAUCUGGCAGUCGUCUGCCAACUCCGUCUCUCGUGGCCGCGGCCAUGGGCGCGGUCACCAGGGGCAACGCAGCGGCGGCCGCGGGCGCAGCAACGCCGACUACUCCAACAACGACAGUGCUGGCUACACCAACACCGGUGGUAGCGGCGGCAGCAACUACAACAACAGGGCCGGGGGUGGUGGCUUCCACAACAACAACAGCCGCCGCCCUCCUCCCUCUUCUUCCCAAGCACGUCCUCGUUGCCAACACUGCAAGAAGCCGGGCCAUGAGGUAAUGGACUGCUGGCAUCGCUAUGACGAGAACUUCGUCCUUGAUGCUAAGCAUGUUGCUGCGGCCAUGCGUGAGCAAGGAGGAGAAGGGGUGUGGUACGUGGAUUCUGGUGCCACGGAUCACGUCACAAGCGAGCUAGAACAACUUGCUCUUCGUGAACAGUACCAUGGCGGCGAUCAAAUUCACACCGCAAGCGGUGGAGGAUCGGGCAACGAGGGAACUCCUUCAUCAUGGUAG